This 74-nucleotide transfer RNA is filed under the name Candidatus Blackburnbacteria bacterium RIFCSPHIGHO2_02_FULL_39_13. RNAcentral describes it as "tRNA-Trp". It matches the Rfam family "tRNA". From Rfam's summary of the family: Transfer RNA (tRNA) molecules are approximately 80 nucleotides in length. Lineage: Bacteria; Candidatus Blackburniibacteriota. The record is from RNAcentral.
GCAGGUGUCGUUCAACGGCAGGAUGGUGGUCUCCAAAACCAUAGAUAAGGGUUCGACUCCCUUCACCUGUGCCA